CUCACUUUGUAGCCCAGGCUGGCCUUGAACUCACAGUGAUCCUCCUGCCUCAGCCUCCUGAGUGCUGGGAU
This 71-nucleotide microRNA precursor is filed under the name Octodon degus (degu). Its description in RNAcentral is "miRNA (ENSODEG00000022250.1)". Lineage: Eukaryota; Metazoa; Chordata; Mammalia; Rodentia; Octodontidae. The record is from RNAcentral.